Molecule: ribosomal RNA, 460 nt
Filed under: uncultured bacterium
Lineage: Bacteria
Description: partial 16S ribosomal RNA
Rfam family: Bacterial small subunit ribosomal RNA
Source: RNAcentral
CCUACGGUGUGCAGCAGUGAGGAAUAUUGGUCAAUGGACGCAAGUCUGAACCCGCCAUGCCGCGUGCAGGAAGACGGCUCUAUGAGUUGUAAACUGCUUUUGUACGAGGGUAAACGCAGAUACGCGUAUCUGUCUGAAAGUAUCGUACGAAUAAGGAUCGGCUAACUCCGUGCCAGCAGCCGCGGUAAUACGGAGGAUUCAAGCGUUAUCCGGAUUUAUUGGGUUUAAAGGGUGCGUAGGCGGUCGGAUAAGUUAGAGGUGAAAUCCCGAGGCUCAACUUCGGAAUUGCUUCGGAUACUGUUCGGCUAGAGAGUAGUUGCGGUAGGCGGAAUGUAUGGUGUAGCGAUGAAAUGCUUAGAGAUCAUACAGAACACCGAUUGCGAAGGCAGCUUACCAAGCUACUUCUGACGUUGAUGCUCGAAAGUGUGGGUAUCAAACAGGAUUAGAUACCCGGGUAGUC